AUUGAACGCUGGCGGCAUGCCUUACACAUGCAAGUCGAACGGUAACGCGGGGCAACCUGGCGACGAGUGGCGAACGGGUGAGUAACGCAUCGGAACGUGCCCAGUAGUGGGGGAUAGCCCGGCGAAAGCCGGAUUAAUACCGCAUACGACCUACGGGUGAAAGGGGGGGAUCGCAAGACCUCCCGCUCUUGGAGCGGCCGAUGUCAGAUUAGGUAGUUGGUGGGGUAAAGGCCUACCAAGCCGACGAUCUGGAGCUGGUCUGAGAGGACGACCAGCCACACUGGGACUGAGACACGGCCCAGACUCCUACGGGAGGCAGCAGUGGGGAAUUUUGGACAAUGGGCGAAAGCCUGAUCCAGCCAUGCCGCGUGAGGGAAGAAGGCCUUCGGGUUGUAAACCGCUUUUGUCAGGGAAGAAAUCUUCUGGGUUAAUACCUCGGGAGGAUGACGGUACCUGAAGAAUAAGCACCGGCUAACUAUGUGCCAGCCGCCGCGGUAA
Molecule: ribosomal RNA, 498 nt
Filed under: uncultured bacterium
Lineage: Bacteria
Description: partial 16S ribosomal RNA
Rfam family: Bacterial small subunit ribosomal RNA
Source: RNAcentral